CAAUAUCCAUGAGCCUCAGUAAGACAUCUUCUUCCUUGAUUUACUUCUUAUAAUUGUUGCUUGUGUUUGUAUUUUUGUGUCCAAAUUAUAAAUGCUAAGGCUUGUUUGGUCAAGAGUAUAGUAAACAGAUAGUCUUACGUUAGAUUCAUAGGUUAAUAAUCCUCUUAAAUGUCCAUGAUCUUAGUUUGCUGCUCUAGUAGCAAUGCUUUCAUUAGCGGGCAUGUCCAGUAAGAAUUUAGUUCUGCGCACUGUUGUAUAUUUUGUUAUAUCGUUGUGUAAAAUUGAUCUACAAUAACAUAUAACUCUUCAUAGUAAGCUCGAUAUAGUAACCUAGAUAAUAGAGUAAUAACCUGCUUUAAUAAGUUAAAUUGCACUGAUAGAGUGAAAAUCGUCUUCUAUAAGUUAAAUCCAUCGAAUAAUAACGCGUAACAUGUUAUACCUGCAUGUUCAUUCUUGCUAUAAUUUUCUCAUGUUUCUUAAUUUUGAGAAAUCUAACAUUUCAUUUUUCAUCCUUUGUGGAGGUUUCUUUUUUUUGCAGAAACAUGCGACAAGGACCAAGCGGUUGAGCAGCAAGAACUUCAGCAUAUUCAACAGGACAUUGAAGAUAACUAUGCAAGUUCUGUUGAGGCCCAUAUCACAUAGGUUGGAAUUGGAUUUUUGUUCAGUCUUUCUGAAUGUUGAUAGGUCAUAAGAGAAACUAGACCUGUAUAAACAAGUAAGGAAAAUGCCUCCAUAUGAAAUUGUCCUGCCCCAUUUCUUUUAAAAAAAUGUUAAAAGAAAUAGUUUAGAGAACUCAGCAAGUCUCAUUUUCAUCCAAUAUCAACUACGGUACAUAAACCUUAAAAUCAAAAGAUAAAAGCCAAAACAAAACUGACAAGUUUGUUUCAUUUUGCAUGUUUUUUCCUUUCCUUUUCUAGUUAUGCACACAACAAAGAAUUGUUGGUGUUAGCACUAUCAAGUAAGUGUUGAGAAAAAGUAAAAAUCUCAAUAUUAUGAGAUACAAG
This 1004-nucleotide long non-coding RNA is filed under the name Nicotiana tabacum (common tobacco). RNAcentral describes it as "long non-coding RNA (NTAB_LNC009121)". Lineage: Eukaryota; Viridiplantae; Streptophyta; Magnoliopsida; Solanales; Solanaceae. The record is from RNAcentral.